ACUUGGGACCGUACUGGCUUGUCUAUGCCCAGUCUCGUCUCAUCUUGGAAGCUAAGUGAGGCUGGGCCUGGUUAGUGUUUGGAUGAGAAACCCCAGGGAAAACCAGAUGCCACAGUG
RNAcentral lists this ribosomal RNA (117 nucleotides) under Periophthalmus magnuspinnatus. The record is from RNAcentral. Lineage: Eukaryota; Metazoa; Chordata; Actinopteri; Gobiiformes; Gobiidae.